GUGGGGAAUCUUGCGCAAUGGGCGAAAGCCUGACGCAGCCAUGCCGCGUGGAUGAUGAAGGUCUUAGGAUUGUAAAAUCCUUUCACCGGUGAAGAUAAUGACUGUAGCCGGAGAAGAAGCCCCGGCUAACUUCGUGCCAGCAGCCGCGGUAAUACGAAGGGGGCUAGCGUUGCUCGGAUUUACUGGGCGUAAAGGGCGCGUAGGCGGACCUUUAAGUCAGGGGUGAAAUCCCGGGGCCCAACCUCGGAACUGCCUUUGAUACUGGGUGUCUUGAGUAUGAGAGAGGUGUGUGGAACUCCGAGUGUAGAGGUGAAAUUCGUAGAUAUUCGGAAGAACACCAGUGGCGAAGGCGACACACUGGCUCAUUACUGACGCUGAGGCGCGAAAGCGUGGGGAGCAAACAGGAUUAGAUACCCUGGUAGUCC
This 425-nucleotide ribosomal RNA is filed under the name uncultured bacterium. RNAcentral's name for it is "partial 16S ribosomal RNA". It matches the Rfam family "Bacterial small subunit ribosomal RNA", at positions 354 to 796 of the family's 1533-position model. The record is from RNAcentral.